CCUAUGGGGGGCAGCAGUGAGGAAUAUUGGUCAAUGGGCGCGAGCCUGAACCAGCCAAGUCGCGUGAGGGAUGACGGCCCUACGGGUUGUAAACCUCUUUUGCCGGGGAGCAACGGGCGCCACGUGUGGCGCCACUGAGAGUACCCGGAGAAAAAGCAGCGGCUAACUCCGUGCCAGCAGCCGCGGUAAUACGGAGGAUGCGAGCGUGAGCCGGAUGGAGUGGGUUUACAGGGUGCGUAGGCGGAUCGUUUAGUCAGUGGUCACAUUGAGGGGCUCCACCCCUUCCCGCCAUUGAAACUGGCGCUCUUGCGUGGACGAGCAGUAUGCGGCAUGCGUGGUGUAGCGGU
Molecule: ribosomal RNA, 347 nt
Filed under: uncultured bacterium
Lineage: Bacteria
Description: partial 16S ribosomal RNA
Rfam family: Bacterial small subunit ribosomal RNA
Source: RNAcentral